RNAcentral lists this ribosomal RNA (810 nucleotides) under uncultured bacterium. Its description in RNAcentral is "bacterial SSU rRNA". It matches the Rfam family "Bacterial small subunit ribosomal RNA", at positions 34 to 859 of the family's 1533-position model. The record is from RNAcentral.
CGUUGGCGGNGCGCCUUAUGCACGCAAGUCGAACGGGGUUACGGUUUUCGGAUUGUAACUUAGUGGCGAACGGCUGAGUAACACGUAAGUAACCUGUCUUUGAGUGGGAAAUAACCUGCCGAAAGGCAGGCUAAUGUCCCAUGUGGUAGUUAAGCAUAUGCUUGGCUAUUAAAGCCUUCGGGCGCUCGGAGAGGGGCUUGCGUCCGAUUAGCUUGUUGGUGGGGUAAAGGCCUACCAAGGCAGUGAUCGGUAGCUGGUCUGAGAGGAUGGCCAGCCAGAUGGGGACUGAGACACGGCCCCAACUCCUACGGGAGGCAGCAGCAAGGAAUUUUGGGCAAUGAGCGAAAGCUUGACCCAGCGACACCGCGUGAGGGAGGAAGGCCUUCGGGUUGUAAACCUCUUUUCUUGGGGAAGAAUUCUGACGGUACCCAAGGAAUAAGCCUCGGCCAACUACGUGCCAGCAGCCGCGGUAAUACGUAGGAGGCGAACGUUAUUCGGAAUUACUGGGCGUAAAGGGCGUGUAGGCGGCCUAUCAAGUCAGCUGUGAAAUUCCCCGGCUCAACCGGGGGUCUGCAGUUGAAACUGGUGGGCUUGAGUGCAGGAGAGGAAGGUGGAAUUCCCGGUGUAGCGGUGAAAUGCGUAGAUAUCGGGAGGNAACACCGGUGGCGAANGCGGCCUUCUGGCCUGUAACUGACGCUGAGGCGCGAAAGCUAGGGGAGCAAACAGGAUUAGAUACCCUGGUAGUCCUAGCUGUAAACGCUGGGUACUAGGUGUAGGGGGUUUAGACGCUCUCUGUGCCGUAGUAACGCA